Molecule: long non-coding RNA, 400 nt
Organism: Ursus maritimus (polar bear)
Lineage: Eukaryota; Metazoa; Chordata; Mammalia; Carnivora; Ursidae
Source: Ensembl
AGAAGAUCCAGGGAGACUUUCCAGAAGGUUCCUUGAAGUUCAAAUCCUGUGAUGUCUUGAUGAAGAUGGGCAACUGACCAGAGGCCUUGACAGUGUCCGCUGAUGUGGCGUAAGAAGGUGAUCUGGACCAUGCUGACGUCCCCCUUCCUCCUCCUAGGCAUUCGAAGUAAGGAACGUCCAGAGCAUCUGUUCCGUCCAUGAUGGGAAGAGGAGCAGCGCUCUGGGAAACCCAGCCCUGUGUUUUAGAUCAGCUCCUCCUCUGCAUCAACAUUGAAUCUGCACCUCACAACUGGUAUCAAGGCCUGGUUUCCAGAAGUUUCUCAUCUUGAGAUCCCUCUAUCACUUCAACUUUUCUUGCCUGAGAGCCUGACUACAAAUAAAUCUUUUUCCUGUUAAGUUU